Gadus morhua (Atlantic cod) is the source of this 119-nucleotide ribosomal RNA. The record is from Ensembl. NCBI's taxonomy places the organism in Eukaryota, Metazoa, Chordata, Actinopteri, Gadiformes, Gadidae.
GCUUACGGCCAUACCACCUUAGGCACGCCCGAUUUCGUCUGAUCUCGGAAGCUAAGCAGGGUCGGGCCUGGUUAGUACUUGGAUGGGUGACCGCCUGGGAAUACCAGGUGCUGUAAGCA